ACCUCCUGAUGAAGUUUCCGGUUCCGGUGUCAGCGGCGGUUGAAUUGCCAUGGCAAUGCGGUGGGCGCGCGCUUGUCGUGUUGGUCUCUUGGGAGGUAGCGGGGCUAGGCCGGGCGGGUAUCCGCCUCUCCCAGCUUAGAUUCAUUGAUUCCAGGUAAAUCAGAGGAACAAGCAACAUGAACAGAAAUAUGUAGAAAAAGCUAUUAUGCAGAAGCAUAAUUGUUGUUUCAGAAGUCCAGCAUCUGGUGCACUUAACAAUAGAGAAUAUAUUAAACUCUUUCCAAAAUAACCUGUUGUUCCUACCUGUGUUCUCUUACAGGGAAAACAGGAAGAACUGGCCCCAUUUUCUAAAUGUGGAGACAGGAGGAGGUGAGAUGGCUCGCCUCUGCCCAGCCGACUGGGAAAUGCAGAGCUCAGAGAGACAGCAAGUCAGGAGAUGUUGAUCCAGGGAGCUUUUCACUCUGCCACCCACCCCAUCGAUGGAAGCACCGACAUUAUCAAGGCUGCAUUUAGAUUUCAAAACAAAAGCAAGCAAACAUGCCGGGCUCGUGGUAUGCUGUUGUUUUAACCGAAAUGAUACAGCUGAAAGGGUGAGCAGCCAUCAGUGCUGUGAGCGAAGCGUGAUCACACAUCUUGUAUGUUUAGCAACUCAGGAGGUAGCUGAGCCUGGAAGUGACUUUCCUGGUAUGUAGCAAUUCAGAGAAUACAAAACCACAUUCAUUAUCUGAAAUGGGCUCAGCUGCUUCUGUGUUUUAUCAUAUAGAGCUGGGAACUUUGAUGUGUGUGGUGUGUGCGUGUUUUGCUGCAUAUACAGAUAAUCACACAACUGGAGGCUUCAGCCUUGCUGUUUACACACACACACACACACACACCCCAGCAGAUACAUCACACACAGACUUCUCACCUGUUACGUUACUAACAGUGGUGCUGGUUUGUUUGAACAGUGUUUGAACUUAUCAAUAACCUUCCUCCAGAAGGCUCAGCAUAGCUAUAGCAUAUGCUGUGUGUGGAAAAUAUAACCUAAGAAACAGAAUGGAAUUGAAUCAUGACCACUAUUGCUAUGAGACAGAAUCCACAGCGAUGGAGUGGGUGCUGGGGUCAGACUGCCUGAGUGUGUACCCUAGGUGAGUCACAUAAUAGCUGGGUGAAUGGCCAAGUUUUCACCUUUUUUCCCUCAUUUGGAAAAUGGGAUGAUAAUAGGAGCUAUCCUGAAGGGUGAUGAUGAGGGUUAAAUUAACAAUAUAGGUAAAGGCUUAGAACAGUGUGUGGCAGAUGGUAGGUAAGCCCUUAAUAAAUAUAAAAUAUCAUUAUUUGUGUCCAUCAUUUGAGAUAUAUCUCACAUCUUAUCCAGAGGACUCCCCAAACACUCGUGUUGUCACUUCUCUUUCCUGUCUCUGGGUUCCUCUACAAGUCAGUUUUGUACCAUGCAGUCUCGCAUUUGAUGACAUGCAGCAUUACUUAGUUCUGUGAAUGAUUCGUGUGUCUUAAUGUCACUUCCCCAACAGACUGUAAAUUUCUUGAUGGCAAGAACCAUGUAACUGGUUUUUGUUAGAUUUCUGCAACUCAAGACCCAAUCCUGGGCAACUGUUGGACACUUAAACAUCCUUCAUCACUAGCUGCGUUCAUCACUAGGAAAAAGUAAGAGAAAUCUGAUGGUAUGGGAUUGUAAGUGGGUAUUAGAUCCAACAGCUGAAACUUAAGAUGUGAAGAUGUAUAUUGACACACAUGUGCGUACAAAAUGUUUAUAGCAGCUUUAUUGAUAAUAGCCAAAAACCAGGAACAACCCGGAUGUCCUUCAACAAGGGAAGGGUGACCCAGCCCGUGAUGCAUCCGUCACACUGUGGAUUGCUGCUCAGCAACGAGGAGGCACAGACUCGAUACGGGAGCCAGCCUGGGUGACGCUCCAGAGAACUACCCUGAGUGGAGAAGGGCAGUCCCACCGUGUGAUUCCAUUAUUAUCACAUUCUUGAAAUGACAGAAUUAUAGAAAGGAGAACAGAGGAGUGGCUGCCAGAGUUUAAGGAGGGAAUGGGGAAAGGGGGAAGAGCAGCAUGCGGGAUCCUUGUGACGGAAGCGUUUUGUGUCGUGUGGGUGUCUGUCAGUUUCCUAGCUGUGAUACUGUACCAUUGUCUUGUAAGAUGCUGCCAUCGGUGGAAACUGGGUAAAGCAUAUAGGGGACCUCUCUGUAUGAUUUCUUACAACU
Homo sapiens (human) is the source of this 2202-nucleotide long non-coding RNA. Ensembl annotates it as small nucleolar RNA host gene 10. Its record names the gene SNHG10. The record is from Ensembl. Lineage: Eukaryota; Metazoa; Chordata; Mammalia; Primates; Hominidae.